AUGUACCUGCUAUACGGGGAAUCUCUGACCCUGAGUCUUUUCAGCUGGCACUUGGGGGAGCUAAGAAUUAGCUUUCUACCUCACUUUUGUUACUACUGUCCUUUUCCCAAGGCUUUGCUGUCUCCUAUGCUUUCCUUCACUUUUCACAGCUGCUGUUUCUUCCCAAGAAUGGCAUUCAUGCUUGCCUUUCCUCACAUUCAGGAUGACGAUGGACAAAGCCUGAUGCCAAGACUCAGUCCUGGUGAAGGAUUUGUGGUGCUAAUCCCAACGCUUGACCUUGGCAGAAAGCAUGGCCCAGUCCAACUCAAGCUCUUGUUCACCUAUGCUGCAGCCAGUAAUCUAAGAACACCCAGAAAGCAGGUGUGCUGGCCAGAGUUCCCAGAACAAGAACUUUAGGGUAUACUGAAGCCGAGUGCUGUACAGGGAGAAUUCUGUGAAUCCAAAAACCUUCCUCUCUGGGCUGCCUGCCUGUAAGUGCCGUAAGCAGUUUAUACAGGAGUAAGGAUUGAAUCUUGGUAUUAUCUAUCAAUCACAAGAAGUGGAAUAUAAACCUGCAGUGUACAUUUUUCUCCAGUGAAAGUACAGAAGCCAAACCAAGCCAUUCUUUGUGUUAACUUUAAAACUGAAAGGUCAUUCUAAGGGUCCCCUUUGUCCUUCACUGCUGCCACGUGAAAUCUUUGGGAGGACGGCUGAAGAAGAGCUCGGGAAAGCGGUUCUCCUGUGAACUGGGACGUUUUCUUCUCUGGUAAUAAAGCGUAACAUGGCUGUGGCUGUCGGGUACUUACGAAUGCUAGAAACUAUUCUUAAGUACUCAGGUCGAAUAUAAGGUAGAGUAGCUCCCACACUAGCCUAAGUUAAUGUAAACAGUUCAGUUCUGUUUGUUUUUAGUAACACUUCACGAUGUUUCUAACAGGUGGUUCUCACUUUAUAUUCAUUAAUUUGAGACCAUUUUAUAGAGACACUUCUUGGGUAUUAUAAACAAUCAAUGGUAAAAGAUAAUAUCCAGUGAUAUUAUCCAUAUCACUGUCCUCAAAAAAUUAUUUAUUGUGGGAUUCAAGAAAGACAUCUGUGCAAUGUUAACAAAAGAAAUAAAUUCAAAUAAAACCUAAAAGGUGUCAAAGGCAAAUGAUUUGCCAAAGGUUAAAGCUAGUUAACACAAAAGCUAGAAUUAUAACCAUGAUAUAAGAAAAACAAAUCCUCAAAAUAAUUUAACUGAAUUUUUGUUGUGCUGUAUUGGGUUGCUUGCUGAAGUUUGUGGUUUUCAGACCAGCUGUAACAUUCCAAACCAGGCAACAGCUAUCGUGGAAAGAGAAUUGUAUGGGGAGUUAGGAGAUCAGAGUUUUAGUUUUGACUUUGUCUCUUGCAGUAAGCUUUUACUCAAGGAUGGCUGCUCUCUCCCUUUCUGGCCAGGGAUUCCCUAACCAUGAAGCUUCAUGGUCAGCAGCUUAGCAUUCUCCAUUCUUUAAAUCUAGCCUCUUACUGUGUCCUGUCAGUUUUUGAAUGUUAUUUGCAUUCAUUUCUUAAAUGUAUUCAUAGCCGUCACUCUAGUAAGUGACUUUAUUACCUCACAUCCUCACCUCAUCUUCCCCAACUUCAGGCCAUUCCUCACAUCACUGCCAUAAGAACCGUCUUUCAUUUUUCUGCUGAAAUAUUUUUGUUGGAUCCUAUUGAACACCUGAUAAAGUUCAGCCUUCUGUUUUAUGGCCCUGGCUUUAUCUCUUAAAACUCACCAUCAGACAAUGCCACUGAAAAUCAGACAUUCCACAAGAAUGGUUUUAAGGUUUUUCUAUGGGGAAGGUAGAAGCUGUUAAUAAACUGUUUACAUUUUUCCAGACUAAAAUAAUUUCUAUAAUACUACUCUUUACAAAGCUAGUCAGCUGAGUUUUAUUUAAGCUCUUGAACAAGCCUGCAAGUUGUUUCCUAAAGAGCAAUCUUUUUCCUCUUUUGUUACAUUCAAUUUCUUAAUCUCCAGAACAGUGUCAGUCUUGCCACCUGUACAGGGGUAGCCAAAGCAUGAGGAUUUUAAUUCAGCAGCGUACGUACUCCAGCCUUUGAUGGACCAUUGUCCAGUCCUGUGGGAAACUUGACUAACAAGUAUUUGCGAACACUCAAGAGUACAUGUUUUCCAUACAUUUCUCAAGUAUGUGAGAUGAUCUUGUAUUAAGGUUAUGACUAAAAGAUGUUUACCUGGGUUUCAUUAAUUAACCUCUUUAAAGAUAUUUUCCAUUUUACUGUUAAAACCCUUGCUGUUAGCAAGAGGUUUAACAGAAGAGGCCCAGUGAUGAGAUUUUCUACAAAUUCUGUAAAGUUUACUGAAUUUGCUUAUUAUGUUGCUGAAUGGUGCUCAUAUAAGGAAACAUGCAAUAAAAUCACUCAUUCAGCAAACAUUUUACUAAACGGCUGUUGUGUGUUGAGUGCCAUUGCCAUAUGUAGAAAAAUAUUAGACUCAUAGAUCUUGUAAGCCAUUCAGGCUGAUGAGUUCAGAUUCUCAAAGCUAGUAAAUCACAGUAAAAUGUGGUACGUACCCUAAAAGAGGAAUGAACAAAGUAAUAUGAGGACACAGAAUGGAGUGACUAGCUCUGCCUGGAAAAGAAGGGGAAGACUUUGUGGAACAUGUGGUAUUUGAGCAGUACCCUAAUGAAGAAAAUACCUGGCCGGGUUUGUGGGCUUUGAAGUCGCAGAGGAACUACAAGUACAAAGGGUUUGAAACGUGAAUGAGUAUAUAAAGCGUGCUUAGAGAAAACCAAGGAAUUAAAUGUGAGUGAUGAAGCUAGUUAAGUGAAAAUACAGACUAGGGUGUAUAUAUUAUACAUGUUUAUAUAUAUAUUAAAUUAUAUACAUCUAAUACAUGUUUAUAUAUUUAAAUAUAUAUAUAUUUAAUUUAAAAAUUCUUUGUUUAAAGGAAUUAAUGUAUCGCUUUGUAUCAGGUAAGACUGUUAUAACCCUCUGAGUUCUUCAUUUUGCCUUCGUUACCAGAGACGUUAGUAGCAAACCUCACAUUUGCCUGAGUUCUUGGUAUAUUUGGUGUAUUUGCUUUCCUUUCCCACAUGUAAGAAAUGAUUUGUGCUUUUUUGCCUCUGCUGUGAGAUCUCUGCUUAAUAUUGAAUGCCUGCUUUCUUCCUAUCCUGUUAUUCAUUCCAUAAAUAUUUAUUGAAAACCCACUGAGAAAAUAGUCAUGAAAUUUACUUUUGCCUUUUAGUGUCCAAGACCUUCAUGGUCCAGUUUUCCAUCUCUGUGUGAAUAUUUCUUGACAGAUGCGAUUCAGUGGCUCCCAUUUUCACUUGUGGCUAAUUCUGCAAUGUUUUACAACUUCGUAGGUGUUAAAUUAUUUCACUUGUGGUAGUGUGAUCUCCCCCACUAGAAUGUAAGCUUCUUAUAGGGCAAGAGCCAUAUCAUCUGCUUCUUGAGAGUAUUUCAUAAUACAAAGUAUCGCGAUGAGAAGGGGAAAAGAAACUACACUCCUGUAUGACUCCCAGAUGAUGAGUGAUGAGGUCAUGGCAUAAGUGUUCUGCUGUUUUCAGGGAUACACACUGAAAUGUUAGAAAGCUUUCUAAGACGUAUCAACUCUUUGCUCAGUACUCACUUUUGUAUAUUAACAUAGGAGUGAAUGAUGCAACAGAAGAAAUCUGGAAAACAUCUCUAGGAUUUGGAAGUCAUGAAUUGAAAUUUUCAGAAUUUGGAGGUAAAGAUAUUUCUAUCUCUUUUUCCAAUUAAAAGUCAUGACUUGGAAAAGAAAGGAUAUAGGACCUGAGUCACUGAAGAAAUGGUGUGGGAAAGCUGAGUUUAUCUCCUGUCUUACCAUACAGCAUUAGUGGGGUCAGAAUAGCAGGGACCCAAGAAGGCUUUAUAAUCUGAUGGUCUAGUAUUGAGACAAGAGUAAUGGCAGGAAUUUAAUUGCUCUUUCAAGCAAGCAGAAAUUUGAAUUAGGCAAGGGCAAGGUUUAAGUUGAGAGGUGAGCAUUUGACAGGAUUUGAACCAAGGUUUCUAAUACUCAGAUUAAUGUAUUUGUUCCACCAAACAGCCUCUGCAGUGAGUUGAUAGGAAAGGAGAGGAAUAAAGUGCUUGGCCCUUACUAAUUCUCCCCUUUUUUAGGUGUUACUUCCCUUUUUUUACUCUCUAGGUUUUAUUGUUCAUAACAGAUGGCUCCUCCUCUCUGGGUUAAGGUAGGGGCCAACAACUCAGGACUUCCUUAGCAUUCCCCUCCCUGCAUCCCCACCUCCCCAGGUACCUUGCCUGUCUUACAGAGUGGUUAUGAAGAUUCAAAAAUGUGUACAUGUUAAAUGGAGCCUGACUCAUAGUAACUGUACAAAUGUUAGUUGCUGCUGUUAUUGUUGUAACCGUUACUGUUAUUUUUCCCCAAAGUUUAAAGGAAAG
RNAcentral lists this long non-coding RNA (4374 nucleotides) under Camelus dromedarius (Arabian camel). RNAcentral's name for it is "lncRNA (ENSCDRG00005015211.1)". Lineage: Eukaryota; Metazoa; Chordata; Mammalia; Artiodactyla; Camelidae. The record is from RNAcentral.